RNAcentral lists this small nucleolar RNA (264 nucleotides) under Chlamydotis macqueenii (Macqueen's bustard). RNAcentral's name for it is "Chlamydotis undulata macqueenii Small Cajal body specific RNA 6". It matches the Rfam family "Small Cajal body specific RNA 6". Rfam says of the family: U88 is small Cajal body specific RNA (scaRNA). scaRNAs are a novel class of small nuclear RNAs which localise to the Cajal bodies. U88 is found associated with both fibrillarin and Gar1p and co-localises with coilin in Cajal bodies. The record is from Rfam by way of RNAcentral. Lineage: Eukaryota; Metazoa; Chordata; Aves; Otidiformes; Otididae.
GGUCUGUGAUGAAUAGUAAAAGGUCUGAUUAUCCUAAGACUUGUACUUCCAUGACCUUUUCUCACAGCAGUUUCUCACCAGUCACAGCGCAAGUAAUGGUGUGGCUGGCAGAGUGUUUGCCGACAGCUUGAGAUGUGUUCAGUCCAUGUUAACCUGAAGUACUGGAGACAUGACUGGAAUCAGCAUCCAGCAGUCCUACUUGAAGGAGUUUGAGGUCUUGGGUUGUUUUAACUGGGUGUGUGAUCUGACUUUUCUGCUGAGACC